AGGAAUAUUGGUCAAUGGGCGCUAGCCUGAACCAGCCAAGUAGCGUGAAGGAUGACUGCCCUAUGGGUUGUAAACUUCUUUUAUAUGGGAAUAAAGUGCAGUAUGUAUACUGCUUUGCAUGUACCUUAUGAAUAAGGAUCGGCUAACUCCGUGCCAGCAGCCGCGGUAAUACGGAGGAUCCGAGCGUUAUCCGGAUUUAUUGGGUUUAAAGGGAGCGUAGGCGGGUUGUUAAGUCAGUUGUGAAAGUUUGCGGCUCAACCGUAAAAUUGCAGUUGAUACUGGCAUCCUUGAGUACAGUAGAGGUAGGCGGAAUUCGUGGUGUAGCGGUGAAAUGCAUAGAUAUCACGCAGAACCCCGAUUGCGAAGGCAGCCUUCCGGCGCCCUACUGACGCUGAGGCACGAAAGUGCGGGGAUCGAACAG
Molecule: ribosomal RNA, 421 nt
Filed under: uncultured bacterium
Lineage: Bacteria
Description: bacterial SSU rRNA
Rfam family: Bacterial small subunit ribosomal RNA
Source: RNAcentral